AUUGAACGCUGGCGGCAAGCCUAACACAUGCAAGUCGAACGGAUGGCGGACGGGUGAGUAAUGUCGGGACAACUGCCUGAUGGACGGGGCAAACUACUGGAAACGUUAGCUAAUACCGCAUAACAUCCGAUGUGCCCAGCUGGGAUUAGCUAGUCGGUGGGGUAAAGGCUCACCGAGGCGACGCUCCCUAGCUGGUCUGAGAGGGUGACCGGCCACACUGGAACUGAGACACGGCCCAGACUCCUACGGGAGGCAGCAGUGGGGAAUAUUGCACAAUGGGCGCAAGCCUGAGGCAGCCAUGCCGCGUGUAUGAAGAAGGCCUUCGGAUCGUAAAGUACUUUCAGCGGGGAGGCGGUACCCGAAGAAGAAGCACCGGCUAACUCCGUGCCAGCAGCCGCGGUAAUAC
Molecule: ribosomal RNA, 406 nt
Filed under: uncultured bacterium
Lineage: Bacteria
Description: partial 16S ribosomal RNA
Rfam family: Bacterial small subunit ribosomal RNA
Source: RNAcentral